RNAcentral lists this ribosomal RNA (460 nucleotides) under uncultured bacterium. RNAcentral's name for it is "partial 16S ribosomal RNA". It matches the Rfam family "Bacterial small subunit ribosomal RNA", at positions 338 to 795 of the family's 1533-position model. The record is from RNAcentral.
CCUACGUGUGGCUGCAGUGAGGAAUAUUGGUCAAUGGGCGGGAGCCUGAACCAGCCAAGCCGCGUGAGGGAAGAAGGUACAGCGUAUCGUAAACCUCUUUUGUCAGGGAACAAAGGCGGGGACUAGUCCCCGGAUGAGGGUACCUGAAGAAAAAGCAUCGGCUAACUCCGUGCCAGCAGCCGCGGUAAUACGGAGGAUGCGAGCGUUAUCCGGAUUUAUUGGGUUUAAAGGGAGCGUAGGCCGGCUUUUAAGUCAGCUGUGAAAGUCCGCGGCUCAACCGUGGAAUUGCAGUUGAAUAUGGAGGCCUUGAGUGCACACAGGGAUGCCGGAAUUCAUGGUGUAGCGGUGAAAUGCUUAGAUAUCAUGAAGAACUCCGAUCGCGAAGGCAAGUGUCCGGGGUGCAACUGACGCUGAGGCUCGAAAGUGCGGGUAUCAAACAGGAUUAGAUACCCCAGUAGUC